RNAcentral lists this ribosomal RNA (254 nucleotides) under uncultured bacterium. RNAcentral's name for it is "partial 16S ribosomal RNA". It matches the Rfam family "Bacterial small subunit ribosomal RNA", at positions 524 to 776 of the family's 1533-position model. The record is from RNAcentral.
CACGUAGGGUGCGAGCGUUGUCCGGAAUUAUUGGGCGUAAAGGGCGCGUAGGCGGUACCCUAAGUCAGAUGUGAAAACCCGGGGCUUAACUCCGGACGUGCAUUUGAAACUGGGGAACUUGAGUGCAGGAGAGGUAAGUGGAAUUCCUAGUGUAGCGGUGAAAUGCGUAGAUAUUAGGAGGAACACCAGUGGCGAAGGCGACUUACUGGACUGUAACUGACGCUGAGGCGCGAAAGCGUAGGGUAGCAAACAGG